This is a non-coding RNA of Danio rerio (zebrafish), 1219 nucleotides long. NCBI's taxonomy places the organism in Eukaryota, Metazoa, Chordata, Actinopteri, Cypriniformes, Danionidae. The record is from RefSeq and is a predicted model, not a curated record.
UUUCCUUUUAAAAUUACAGAUAAGAGUCCUGUACAAUGUUAUGGGUUUCUGUUGCAUCACCAGCGCCCCCUACUGGCUACAAAAGCCAUCAGCUUUACUAAUUAUUUAGGAAUGUACAGCACUUGCUUUCUGUAGUUCCAAUAUUUAGGGUAUGAUAACUAUCAGUCCUUCUUGAAUUUGCCUCGAUCAAGAUAAACAUAAUUCAGAAUCAACUGCCAGUCUGUAAAAUGGACAACAGCCACUGCACCAGCUGCACCCCAUUCAACAAUAGUGGGAAUCAUAGAUUGCAAAGUACAAACGUAUUAAAAUAAUAAUUUGUAGUAAAUAGUUAUGACGUUUCAUAAUUGUACGUGUCAGAAGAGCGGGCGAUUUUUUGGUUAACAUGCUGUUGGACUGUUCAUAAAUCAAGCACUAAUUUACCAGAUUCUGGCCAUUUUGACGUAUUUUGGACCGAUCAGCUUUGUUAACUUCUGCAUCUUGGCACUCACUCAGCUUCUCCCUCCUCCGUUCGGAAAGUAAACAAACUCAAAUGGCUGUUUCAGGACCCAGGCUGCCCGUUAUUAGCCUGAUAGAAAAUUCUGGAACCGUAGAGAUUUUAUUGCUUAAUCCACAGGAUUUAAGACCGCCUACGAUGAACGGACAAACGUACAGCCAAUCAAAAUCUACCAUCCAAAAAGAGCGCGAACAUACAAACGGUUUGUUAAAUGAGCCGUUAAUUUACGUUGGCGUGGAAGAGACGGUCAAGAUUUUCUCUUUACUCAUUUCUCUGAAAAGACACCAACUGGUAAGACUUUUAUUACAAUGUUUUCUUUUAUUUAACUCAUUUGAAGGUAUACAAGAUCAAAAGCAAGACAUUGAAAAAAAUGUAUAAUUCUGUUAUUAAAAAUGGCACAUUUAUUGCUACAUUACUGUUAUAUACAGGACAGUUCUCAAUACCUACUUUAUAUAUAUAUUUAUAAAAACAAAGACAAAAUAAUAAUAAUAAUAAUAAUAAUGACAAAAAAACCGGAGGCACUCUGAAGACACAACAGCAGUAUUGUUCAUGUCCCUACUGCAACUGCAAGACACCAGGUUCUGUAAAAUUCACACACAUCUUAAUUCUGAUGGAAAUCGUGGGCAGCAAUCUUAUUUUGGCGCACAACAAUUCAUUCAAAAUGUUUUACUUCGUUGGACAUUCAAGAGUAAAUGCUUCAGGGGUAAAAAAAAACAAAAAAAAAAA